GCCCGGGUCGCACAGUCAGGAAGUGCGCCGGUCUUAAAAACCGGUGCCCUUCGGGGUCCGAGGGUUCAAAUCCCUCCCCGGGCG
This 84-nucleotide transfer RNA is filed under the name Nitrososphaerota archaeon. RNAcentral's name for it is "Thaumarchaeota archaeon tRNA-Leu". It matches the Rfam family "tRNA". Rfam says of the family: Transfer RNA (tRNA) molecules are approximately 80 nucleotides in length. Their secondary structure includes four short double-helical elements and three loops (D, anti-codon, and T loops). Further hydrogen bonds mediate the characteristic L-shaped molecular structure. tRNAs have two regions of fundamental functional importance: the anti-codon, which is responsible for specific mRNA codon recognition, and the 3' end, to which the tRNAs corresponding amino acid is attached (by aminoacyl-tRNA synthetases). tRNAs cope with the degeneracy of the genetic code in two manners: having more than one tRNA (with a specific anti-codon) for a particular amino acid; and 'wobble' base-pairing, i.e. permitting non-standard base-pairing at the 3rd anti-codon position. Lineage: Archaea; Thermoproteati; Nitrososphaerota. The record is from RNAcentral.